AGCAGAGAAUUCACAGUACAGGGCCAACGGAAGGACCUAAACACAAUUUUUCUCAAACUGCGAAUAACUGACUCUACAGGUCAUAUUAGGAAUAUUCAUUCCCCUUUGAUAUUGAAGUUGAUACAGCAAAUGCUGUUGCUAGUGAAAUGGUUGAAGAGUUGGACCUGACAGAUCAAGACGUCUCUGCUAUUGCUGAUAUGAUUGAUUCAGAAAUCCGGUCAUAUAUCCCAGAUUGGGCACCAAGAGAAAACUCUAGCAAUCACAUCACCAAUGAAGUUGCUUCUGAUAACUUUACUUCUGGAGUCGGAGAUGAUGCUCCUCCCUUUACAAUUGAUCCUGCUUAUUCGGGUAGUCUUGUGUUGGAAAGACUUCCUUCAGGUCGAAAGUACUGGUCUGUUUCACCGAAAACAACCAGUAAUGGCAGCUCUCCACGCAGACAGGGGCCUUCAUACACGUCGCUGACCGAUUCACCAACUCAUGAAGACAGUUGGACGGAAGAAUUUGAAGAAUCACCUGUUAUCCUGAGAGAGGGAGGGAGUUCACAUGUUGCUGCCUUACUCGGACACGAAGAUUAUAAAUCUGAGACUCACGUGGAUGAUGAUGCCAGUGUUCACCGUGAUUUUGACUUUGGUGACAAUGCUCAUUCUGCGGAUUUUAGUUAUGCAAGCAGGCCUCAUUCAUCAGAGGAAAGAAAUAACAUGAUCAGCAACAACUACUCAGCUGAUAUCAGACA
Molecule: unclassified non-coding RNA, 733 nt
Filed under: Hevea brasiliensis (rubber tree)
Lineage: Eukaryota; Viridiplantae; Streptophyta; Magnoliopsida; Malpighiales; Euphorbiaceae
Source: RNAcentral